This 2902-nucleotide ribosomal RNA is filed under the name Acinetobacter baumannii. RNAcentral's name for it is "partial 23S ribosomal RNA". It matches the Rfam family "Bacterial large subunit ribosomal RNA". The record is from RNAcentral. Lineage: Bacteria; Pseudomonadati; Pseudomonadota; Gammaproteobacteria; Moraxellales; Moraxellaceae.
GUUGUAUAGUCAAGUAAUUAAGUGCAUGUGGUGGAUGCCUUGGCAGUCAGAGGCGAUGAAAGACGUGAUAGCCUGCGAAAAGCUCCGGGGAGGCGGCAAAUAUCCUUUGAUCCGGAGAUGUCUGAAUGGGGGAACCCACCUACUUUAAGGUAGGUAUUGCAACAUGAAUACAUAGUGUUGCAAGGCGAACGAGGGGAAGUGAAACAUCUCAGUACCCUUAGGAAAAGAAAUCAAUUGAGAUUCCCUCAGUAGCGGCGAGCGAACGGGGAUCAGCCCAUUAAGUUAUGUGUGUUUUAGUGGAACGCUCUGGGAAGUGCGAACGUAGAGGGUGAUAUUCCCGUACACGAAAGGGCACACAUAAUGAUGACGAGUAGGGCGAGGCACGUGAAACCUUGUCUGAAUAUGGGGGGACCAUCCUCCAAGGCUAAAUACUCCUGACUGACCGAUAGUGAACCAGUACCGUGAGGGAAAGGCGAAAAGAACCCCUGUGAGGGGAGUGAAAUAGAUCCUGAAACCGCAUGCAUACAAGCAGUGGGAGCACCUUCGUGGUGUGACUGCGUACCUUUUGUAUAAUGGGUCAGCGACUUAUAUUCAGUAGCAAGGUUAACCGUAUAGGGGAGCCGUAGAGAAAUCGAGUCUUAAUAGGGCGUUUAGUUGCUGGGUAUAGACCCGAAACCAGGCGAUCUAUCCAUGAGCAGGUUGAAGGUUGGGUAACACUAACUGGAGGACCGAACCCACUGUCGUUGAAAAGCCAGGGGAUGACUUGUGGAUAGGGGUGAAAGGCUAAUCAAGCCUGGUGAUAGCUGGUUCUCCCCGAAAGCUAUUUAGGUAGCGCCUCGGACGAAUACCAUAGGGGGUAGAGCACUGUUUCGGCUAGGGGGUCAUCCCGACUUACCAAACCGAUGCAAACUCCGAAUACCUAUGAGUACUAUCCGGGAGACAGACUGCGGGUGCUAACGUCCGUAGUCAAGAGGAAAACAAUCCAGACCGCCAGCUAAGGCCCCAAAAUCAUAGUUAAGUGGGAAACGAUGUGGGAAGGCAUAGACAGCUAGGAGGUUGGCUUAGAAGCAGCCACCCUUUAAAGAAAGCGUAAUAGCUCACUAGUCGAGUCGGCCUGCGCGGAAGAUGUAACGGGGCUAAAACUAUGUGCCGAAGCUGCGGAUGUAUACUUUGUAUACGUGGUAGGGGAGCGUUCUGUAAGCCGAUGAAGGUGUGUUGAGAAGCAUGCUGGAGGUAUCAGAAGUGCGAAUGCUGACGUGAGUAACGACAAAACGGGUGAAAAACCCGUUCGCCGAAAGACCAAGGGUUCCAGUCCAACGUUAAUCGGGGCUGGGUGAGUCGACCCCUAAGGCGAGGCCGAAAGGCGUAGUCGAUGGGAAAAUGGUUAAUAUUCCAUUACUUCUGUGUAAUGCGAUGAGAGGACGGAGAAGGCUAAAUCAGCCUGGCGUUGGUUGUCCAGGUGAAAGGAUGUAGGCAUGUAUCUUAGGCAAAUCCGGGGUACUCUAUGCUGAGAUCUGAUAGCAAGCUGUACUUGUACAGCGAAGUGGUUGAUGCCAUGCUUCCAGGAAAAGUCUCUAAGCUUCAGUUACACAGGAAUCGUACCCGAAACCGACACAGGUGGUCAGGUCGAGUAGACCAAGGCGCUUGAGAGAACUCUGCUGAAGGAACUAGGCAAAAUGGUACCGUAACUUCGGGAGAAGGUACGCUGUUGUUGGUGAUGGAACUCGCUUCCUGAGCUGACGACAGCCGCAGAAACCAGGCCGCUGCAACUGUUUAUUAAAAACAUAGCACUCUGCAAACACGAAAGUGGACGUAUAGGGUGUGAUGCCUGCCCGGUGCUGGAAGGUUAAUUGAUGGGGUUAGCGUAAGCGAAGCUCUUGAUCGAAGCCCCAGUAAACGGCGGCCGUAACUAUAACGGUCCUAAGGUAGCGAAAUUCCUUGUCGGGUAAGUUCCGACCUGCACGAAUGGCAUAAUGAUGGCGGCGCUGUCUCCAGCAGAGGCUCAGUGAAAUCGAAAUCGCUGUGAAGAUGCAGUGUACCCGCGGCUAGACGGAAAGACCCCGUGAACCUUUACUGCAGCUUGACACUGAACUUUGACCUUACUUGUGUAGGAUAGGUGGGAGGCUUUGAAGCUGGAACGCUAGUUCCAGUGGAGCCGUCCUUGAAAUACCACCCUGGUAAUGUUGAGGUUCUAACUCUGUCCCGUGAUCCGGGACGAGGACCGUGUCUGGUGGGUAGUUUGACUGGGGCGGUCUCCUCCUAAAGAGUAACGGAGGAGUACGAAGGUGCGCUCAGCGUGGUCGGAAAUCACGCGUAGAGUAUAAAGGCAAAAGCGCGCUUAACUGCGAGACCCACAAGUCGAGCAGGUACGAAAGUAGGUCUUAGUGAUCCGGUGGUUCUGUAUGGAAGGGCCAUCGCUCAACGGAUAAAAGGUACUCUGGGGAUAACAGGCUGAUACCGCCCAAGAGUUCAUAUCGACGGCGGUGUUUGGCACCUCGAUGUCGGCUCAUCUCAUCCUGGGGCUGAAGCAGGUCCCAAGGGUAUGGCUGUUCGCCAUUUAAAGAGGUACGCGAGCUGGGUUUAGAACGUCGUGAGACAGUUCGGUCCCUAUCUACCGUGGGCGCUGGAAAUUUGAGAGGAUCUGCUCCUAGUACGAGAGGACCAGAGUGGACGAACCUCUGGUGUACCGGUUGUGACGCCAGUCGCAUCGCCGGGUAGCUAUGUUCGGAAGGGAUAACCGCUGAAAGCAUCUAAGCGGGAAGCCUACCUCAAGAUAAGAUUUCCCUAGGACUUUAUGUCCUCUAAAGAGCCGUUCGAGACUAGGACGUUGAUAGGUUGGAUGUGGAAGCAUAGUGAUAUGUGAAGCUGACCAAUACUAAUUGCUCGUGAGGCUUGACUAUAC